UUUUUGUCUGAGAGAGAAGAGAAGUGAAUCCCGCUGCCGCCGCCGCCGCCGCCGCUGCUGUAGCUGUACAGUGUGUGUGUGUGUGUGUGAGAGAGAGAGAGCGAGAGAGAGGGAGAUUGCAUGGAGCCGCGUCUGUAACACACACACACUGUCAAUACCUCACUCCAGCUCCCCCCGCCCCACCACAACACUAACCCAAUUCAUUGUGUGAUCCAGCAGCACCAUGUUGAGUCUCAUGUGCAGGCUGGAUCGGUUGGGUUUGUGGUGCUGAGACAGGCAGCAGCAGGAAUUACUGAGAGGUGCCCCUCUCCCUCCCUGUGUGUCUCUGCCCGUGUGUUGUGUGGAGACGGGACUCGCAAUUACCACGCUCUCGGGGGCUCCCUUAUUCCUUUUAAACUUUUUUUUUUAAACAAGCCCCUCUCCAUGGCUGAUCCCCGGCCGUGCACGGGCACCUGGGUCUCGUAAAGACAAGGAGGAGCUGGGGAUUGUUGUUGUUUUUUUUUUAAUUGGAUUUUUUUUAAGAAAACCUUUUUUAAUACAAAAAAUGGCAAAUUCGACGGGUAAAACCCAACCAGACCAGCGGAGAAAGGGACUCGCUUUCCUGGACGAGCUGCGGCAGUUUCACCACAGCAGAGGGUCUCCUUUUAAGAAGAUCCCUGUGGUGGGUGGGAAGGAGCUGGAUCUUCACGCUCUCUACACCAGAGUCACCACUUUAGGCGGAUUUGGGAAGGUAUCUGAGAAGAAUCAGUGGGGAGAAAUUGUAGAGGAGUUUAACUUUCCCAGAAGUUGUUCUAACGCUGCCUUCGCUUUAAAACAGUAUUACUUGCGCUAUCUAGAAAAGUACGAGAAAGUACAUCAUUUUGGGGAGGAUGAUGAUGAGGUACAACCAGGCAAUCCAAAGCCACAACUUCCUAUAGGUGCAAUUCCAUCUUCCUACAAUUACCAGCAACACAGUGUGUCAGAUUAUCUUCGUCAAAGCUAUGGGCUGUCUAUGGACUUUAAUUCACCGAAUGACUAUAAUAAAUUGGUGCUUUCACUGUUAUCUGGACUCCCAAAUGAAGUGGACUUUGCUAUUAAUGUGUGCACUCUUCUGUCAAAUGAAAGCAAGCAUGUCAUGCAGCUUGAAAAGGACCCUAAAAUCAUCACUCUAUUGCUCGCUAAUGCUGGGGUGUUUGAUGACACUUUAGGAUCAUUUUCUACUGUAUUUGGAGACGAAUGGAAGGAGAAAACUGAUAGAGAUUUUGUUAAGUUUUGGAAGGAUAUUGUCGAGGAUAAUGAAGUACGUGACCUCAUUUCUGACAGAAACAAAUCUCAAGAUGUUCCAUCAGAAGAAUGGAUAUGGGAAUCCUUAUUUCAUCCACCUCGCAAGUUGGGCAUUAAUGAUAUUGAAGGGCAGCGGGUACUUCAGAUUGCAGUGAUAUUGCGAAAUCUUUCUUUUGAGGAGGGAAACGUUAAACUUUUGGCAGCUAAUCGUACCUGUCUUCGGUUCCUGCUACUCUCUGCUCAUAGUCAUUUUAUUUCUCUAAGACAAUUGGGGCUUGACACACUAGGAAAUAUUGCAGCAGAGCUUUUGUUGGACCCUGUUGAUUUCAAAACUACUCAUCUAAUGUUUCACACUGUUACAAAAUGCCUAAUGGCAAGGGAUAGAUUCUUAAAAAUGAGAGGCAUGGAAAUCUUGGGGAAUCUUUGUAAAGCUGAAGAUAAUGGUGUAUUAAUUUGUGAAUAUGUGGAUCAAGAAUCCUACAAAGAGAUAAUAUGUCAUCUCACUUUACCAGAUGUGCUGCUUGUAAUCUCAGCACUUGAAGUGCUAUACAUGCUCACAGAAAUGGGAGAAGUGGCCUGCACAAAGAUUGCUAAAGUAGACAAGAGCAUAGAUACAUUAGUAUGUCUGGUUUCUAUGGACAUCCAGAUGUUUGGACCUGAUGCACUUACUGCUGUAAAACUCAUUGAACAUCAGAGCUCCAACCAUCAAGUAUCUGAAAUCAGGCCACAGGCGGUGGAGCAUGUUUCCUCACAGGCCCAUGCAACAGCUGUCCCAGCAUCAAGAGCAGCACAGCAUGUUGCUCCACCACCAGGAAUAGUAGAAAUAGACAGUGAGAAAUUUGCAUGCCAGUGGUUGAAUGCACAUUUUGAGGUGAAUUCAGAUUGCUCAGUCUCUCGAGCGGAAAUGUACUCUGAAUACCUCUCAACCUGCAGUAAAUUAGCUCGAGGUGGAAUCCUAACAUCAACUGGAUUUUAUAAAUGUCUUCGAACUGUCUUUCCAAAUCACACAGUGAAGAGAGUAGAGGAUCCAAAUAACAACGGGCAGGCACAUAUACACGUAGUAGGAGUUAAAAGGAGAGCUAUACCACUUCCCAUUCAGAUGUACUAUCAGCAACAACCAACUUCUGCUACCCCUGUCGUCCGGGUUGAUUCUAUUCCUGAUGUAUCUCCGUCUCCUUCACCAGCAGGAAUCCCACAUGGACCACAAAGUGUAGGAAACCAUUUUCAGAGGACCCCAGUUAACAACCAGUCUUCAAAUCUGACAGCAACACAGAUGUCUUUUCCAAUUCAAGGUGUUCACACUGUGGCGCAGACUAUUUCUAGAAUUCCACAAAAUCCUUCAGUUCACACACAGCAACAACAAAACGCUACCGUGACUGUCAUUCAGAAUAAAACUCCAAUUUCCUGUGAGGUAGUCAAGGCCACAGUAAUACAGAGCUCGGUUUCCCAAUCUGCAGUUCCUGUUACUAUUGCUGUAGGUGGAGCAGCACAAGCUUCUAAUCAAAAUCACAGCAGUGCAGGACCACAACCAUCUGUUGCUGUUGUCAGUUCUCAGACUUUGCUUCACCACCAACCUGUAAUUCAACAACAGUCUCCACUACAUGCAGUGGUACCAGGACAGAUACCUUCAGGCACUCCUGUUACGGUAAUUCAACAAGCUGUACCUCAGGGUCAUAUAUUUGGCAGAGUACAGAACCUACCAGCAUGCACUUCAGCAGUUUCACAGGGUCAACAGUUAAUCACUACAUCGUCACAACCUUUGCAGACUUCAUCUCAGCAGCCCUCUGCUGGUAACCAGCAACAAGACACAGUCAUCAUAGCACCCCAACAAUAUGUCACAACCUCUGCAUCCAAUAUUGUUUCUGCCACUACAGUACAGAAUUUUCAAGUUGCAGCUGGGCAAGUGGUUACUAUUGCUGGUGUCCAAAAUCCACAAACUUCUAGGGUAGGGUUUCAGAAUAUUGCUCCAAAGCCUCUACCUUCUCAGCAAGUCCCACCUACAGUGGUACAGCAACCCAUGCAGCAGCAGCCGCCACCAUCCCAACAAAGUGUAGUGAUUGUAAGCCAGCCAGCUCAGCAAGGUCAAACUUAUGCACCAGCCAUUCACCAAAUUGUGCUAACUAAUCCAGCUUCUCUUCCAGCUGGGCAAACUGUCCAGUUGACUGGACAACCAAACAUAACUCCAUCUUCCUCACCGUCUCCUGGACCAGUUACAAAUAACCAGGUUCCUACAGUAAUGUCAUCUCCAUCUACUACUCAGUCACAAGGACCCCCUCCUACUGUCAGCCAGAUGCUUUCCGUGAAGAGGCAGCAACAGCAGCAACAUUCACCCGCGCCAUCACAACAACAGGUACAAGUACAAGUCCAGCAACAACAACCGGUACAAAUGCAAGUUCAGCCACAGCAAGCUAAUGCAGGAGUUGGUCAGCCUUCGUCUGGAGAAUCUAGUCUGAUAAAACAGCUGCUUCUUCCAAAACGAGGCCCUUCAACUCCUGGUGGUAAGCUUAUACUCCCAGCUCCACAGAUUCCUCCACCUAACAAUGCAAGAGCCCCUAGCCCUCAGGUGGUUUAUCAGGUGGCUAAUAACCAAGCACCAAGUUUUGGAGUUCAAGGACAGUCUCCAGCUCAGCAGCUAUUAGUUGGACAGCAAAAUGUUCAGCUGGUCCAGAGUGCAAUCCAGCCCCAAGGGGCAGUACAAACAGUACCCAUUUCUAAUCUACAAAUAUUGCCAGGCCAGUUGAUCUCAAAUAGCCCAGCAACCAUUUUCCAAGGGACUUCUGGCAACCAGGUUACCAUAACAGUUGUGCCAAAUACUAGUUUUGCUACUGCAACUGUGAGUCAGGGAAAUACAACUCAGCUCAUUGCUCCAGCAGGAAUCUCAAUGAGUGGAACACAGACAGGAGUUGGGCUUCAGGUGCAAACACUUCCAACUACUCCAGCACCUCCAGCUGGACAAUCACCAUGUGCUGCUGCUCCUCCAUUCAAAGGUGAUAAAAUAAUUUGCCAAAAGGAGGAAGAAGCAAAGGAAGCAACAGGUUUACACGUUCAUGAACGUAAAAUUGAAGUUAUGGAAAAUCCCUCUUGCCGAAGAGGAGCUGUGAAUACCAGUAAUGGGGAUGCAAAGGAAAAUGAUAUGCAGGUGGGAAGUCUUUUAAAUGGGAGAAAGUAUAAUGACUCCAGUCUACCUCCUUCUAACUCAGGGAAAACUCAAAAUGAGGCCAAUCAGUGCUCACAAGUCAGUAACGGGCCAUCAUUAGAAUUGGGUGAGAAUGGAGCUCCUGGAAAGCAGAACUUUGAACAAAUGGACACACAGGAAAUUAAAAGUGAUUUGAAGAAGCCCCUAGUUAAUGGAAUCUGUGAUUUUGAUAAAGGAGAUGGUUCUCAUUUGAGCAAAAACAUUCCAAAUCACAAAACUUCCAAUCAUGUAGGAAAUGGUGAGAUCUCUCCAGUGGAACAAGGGAAUUCAGAUGUCAUGCAGCAAGAGACUGCUAAAGGUGAUCAAGGGGAAAGGAUUUCUAAUGGACCUGUAUUAACUUUCAGUAGUUCACCUGUUGUAAGCGGUACACAGGAAGCUGCAAAACUGUUAACCCAGCAACUUAGUGGUACCAACACUGAUUUACCUAAUGGACCUUUAGCUUCAAGUUUGAAUUCAGAUGUGCCUCAGCAACGCCCAAGUGUAGUUGUCUCACCACAAUCUACAGCCUCUGUUAUACAGGGGCAUCAAAUCAUAGCAGUUCCACACUCAGGACCUAGAGUGUCCCAGUCUACCCUGUCAUCUGAAGUUCGGUCUACUAAUGGCACAGCAGAAUGCAAAACUGUAAAGAGGCCAGCGGAGGAUAAUGAUAGGGAAACUGUUCCAGGAAUUCCAAAUAAAGUAGGAGUUAGAAUUGUUACAAUCAGUGACCCCAACAAUGCAGGUUGCAGUGCAACUAUGGUUGCUGUGCCAGCUGGAGCGGAUCCAAGCACUGUAGCUAAAGUAGCAAUAGAAAGCGCUGUUCAGCAAAAGCAGCAGCAUCCAACAACAUAUAUACAAAGCAUGGUCACACAGAGUACACCUGUGACACCAGUACCAACAGUGCAAGUACAGGGCCAGCAGAUCAAUUUGCAGCCUUCUUCAUAUCCAAUACCAAGUCAACAUGGCGAGCAAGUGAAAAAACCUGGACAGAACUUCAUGUGUCUGUGGCAAUCUUGUAAAAAGUGGUUUCAAACACCAUCACAAGUUUUUUAUCAUGCAGCAACUGAACAUGGAGGAAAAGAUGUCUAUCCAGGGCAGUGCUUAUGGGAGGGUUGUGAACCUUUUCAGCGACAGAGGUUUUCCUUCAUUACCCACUUACAGGAUAAGCACUGCUCCAGAGAUGCUCUACUUGCAGGAUUAAAACAAGAUGAACACGGACAAGCAGGAAAUCAGAAACCUUCCAAUAAGCAGCCAACUGCAGGGAGUAGUACCUCUACUCCUAGAGCACAGAAAGCUAUUGUGAAUCAUCCUAGUGCUGCCCUCAUGGCACUAAGAAGGGGAUCAAGAAAUCUUGUCUUCAGAGAUUUUACAGAUGAAAAAGAGGGACCAAUAACUAAACACAUCCGAUUAACAGCUGCCUUAAUAUUAAAAAAUAUUGGUAAAUAUUCAGAAUGUGGUCGCAGAUUGCUAAAGAGACAUGAAAAUCACCUAUCUGUGCUAGCCAUUAGUAAUAUGGAAGCUUCCUCCACACUUGCCAAAUGCCUUUAUGAACUUAAUUUUACAGUCCAGAGUAAAGAACAAGAAAAAGACUCUGAAAUGCUGCAGUGAGAAAAGUCCCACUUGUACAUAGGGACAGAGAUAGUCAAAUACAUUUCAAAUACUGUUACUGAAGAAAGCACCAAGUCUUAAUGGAACAGAGACCAUAGAUUGAAUUAUUUUAUCUCCUCCUGUGAUGUUGAGAGGAAGCUUUGUAUUCUGAUCACUGAGUGAAUCCCUUUGUUCUGUUUAGAGAAAGGAAAAAAACUGCCAUGGGAUUUUCAACCACCUAUCUGCGGGAUGUCUCUCGAAUCUGAUAAAUCCUGAAGGAAACUGGUGUGAUCAGAAUUCAGUACCAUCCACAUUGGAAUAAACAUGGAAUAUUGUAAAACCUACAUGAGCAGAUGAAAUAGAAGCAUUAAAUAUUUUUAUCUAUAUCCAAAAAGGAGCACAUUUUUAUAUUUACGAAACCAUUUAAGCUGGUUUGAAUAAAAGAGAAAAGUUUCAGCACACCUGUAACCCCCCUGGUCUCGGAGGGUGCCACCAGUAUCUAGCUAUGGAUUGCGUGUUUUGUUUAGAAAUCAGUAGCUUGGUUUUCUUACUUGAGCCAAUAUAUUUUCACUUAUUUAUUAUCAUAAAAAUUUACCAGUCUGAAUAGAUCUUGUAAAUAGUUGUGAAUAGAACACCUUUCAUGCCACUGCAGCCACUGGAAAACAUUCUGUGGUGUCCUAGGAGCAUUAUAGGGCUUGUACGUGAUCCGCUGUGUGGUAAAGACCCGCCUGCUUUUACUGAUCUAUGUUCUACUAAGGCCAGCUCAACAGUAAUGCAGCAUCUUCUCCUGCGAGGAGGAAGAAAGUCACAACUGAUAAGCUUAGAGUCAGCAUUUGCUUCUUUCAUUUGUACUAAGAUCUUCUUUCUGAUGCAUUGUCCAUUGCUUCCUUCUGAAAUGUAUAAUGCCAGAACUGUGAAGGCACAGCAGUGAACAACUUGCUCUCAAUUUCGGACAAAAUCAGUAUUUGGACCCAAACUAUUUUAUGUUGCCAACAUGACUUUGUUUUCCUCUGGUUUUUUUUCAAUUGCUUUUUUAAUUAUUAUGAACUUGUUUUUGUCAGUGCAUGAUUCUGCCUUUUAGCAUGAGAGGAAGAAGAAUGGCCUUGGAAUUAAGGAACUGGACAAGGGCUCAGAACUUGGCUUACUUCCUGGUGCUGCCAAAGACUUCCUGUGUGACUUUGGAGAAGUUGCUUAAUGUCAGUGUGCCUCACUGUAAAAUAGUGACGAUAGAAUUGCACUGUCUCAUAGGGGUAUCAUGAGGAUAAAUCAAUAAAUGGUGUUCAGAGGCUAUAGCAAUGUGGGGUCAAAAUGGUACCCACAUACCAUCAAAGUGUCUUGGUUCAUUCCAUCUAUGUUUGGUCCUGUGCACAGGGAGGGCCUUGAGCAGAGGCGCCACAUUGGGGAGAGGGGGCACGGAGGGUCAUGUGCCCCGCACCUCCCCACAAGAGUUGCUACUUGGCUUGUACUGAGCAUGCUCAGUAACAUCGGCUGAAGCAGCUGCCCUCAUUCCAUCCCCCCCACCUUCCACUGUCAGCAGGUACAGGUGGUCUCUGGCCUUAAGUAUUAACCAGUCACACUGGGGGAACACAGUUUUUUUCACUCCUGGGCCCUUUUCCACCUACAUUGUCAUGGUGGCAAACAGUUUUAUCUGUCUGGAUGGUUCUGAACAGCCUUUUCCAGUCUCAAUGCUGGUGUAAUUUCAUUUGGUGGGUAGUCACAAAUGCAUGUGCAGUGGCCAUCUGUCUUCCUGUGCUGCCUACAGCAAGGCCAAUAAUCAGCUCAACAUGGCUAGUGAUCACCAGUCCAGGGAACUGAAAGCUUAAGGUUGUUCCCUAUGGCCCAGCAUAGCAACUUGCCCGCCUUUAAUCACUCAAGUUUUAAAAUUUGGUUUAUAGAAAUAACGAACGAUGUAAGGUUAAUAAGAAGAAGGGGUUUUAAGUGGGAUAUUUUGAACUAAUCAAUUCUUUUUAAGUGGGUAUGUGGUGAGAACUCGAAGCUGAUCUUGAUGGAUUAUCAUUACUAUCAAACAUUUCAAGAAUGCAAGAAACAUAAAUGAUUAUCAUUAUUGUCAUAGCUUUUCUCCCAAAAUCUUUAAAAAUGGACUAUGACAUCAAAAAUACAUGUUGAGUCUGGUAAUCUGCUGUCUUUUUCAUUGUCAUGUUACAGUUUAUUUCUUUAAAGAUAUUAUCUUGCAAGUUUAUCACUUUAUGUAUGUAGGGCUCCAAGCCACCCUGUAUACUGGCAUAAGGGGACCAGACACUGAGAAUUCCA
This is a non-coding RNA of Caretta caretta (loggerhead turtle), 8296 nucleotides long. NCBI's taxonomy places the organism in Eukaryota, Metazoa, Chordata, Testudines, Cheloniidae. The record is from RefSeq and is a predicted model, not a curated record.